GAUUUAGGAUAGGGGUUUUGGCUGUGGAGGAUGAACAGUUAGGGUUUUGGUUUGAAGGAGGAAUUGGGGAUUUUGGUAAUGGGUUUAAAGGGGGAGCAAAAGGUGAGAGUUUUGAGGCUCGAUUAGUUUGGAUUGGAGAUUUUAGUGGAAGAAUUUUAAAGUUUUGGGAAUCAAAUUGAACAGUACCAGUAGAUCUAGAGAAAGACGGUACUGCAGAGGAGUUGGGAUUGGCUUUAGCAGAUGCUGCAGCAGUUUGAGUAG
RNAcentral lists this long non-coding RNA (261 nucleotides) under Brassica napus (rape). Its description in RNAcentral is "long non-coding RNA (BNAP_LNC003368)". Lineage: Eukaryota; Viridiplantae; Streptophyta; Magnoliopsida; Brassicales; Brassicaceae. The record is from RNAcentral.